UACGGAAGGCAGCAGUGGGGAAUAUUGCACAAUGGGCGAAAGCCUGAUGCAGCUAUGCCGCGUGUAUGAAGAAGGCCUUAGGGUUGUAAAGUACUUUCAUCGGGGAGGAAAAAACAAAACUAAUAAUUUUAUUUCUUGACGUUACCCGAAAAAGAAGCACCGGCUAACUCCGUGCCAGCAGCCGCGGUAAUACGGAGGGUGCUAGCGUUAAUCAGAAUUACUGGGCGUAAAGAGCACGUAGGUGGUUUUUUUAAGUCAGAUGUGAAAUCCCUGGGCUUAACCUAGGAACUGCAUUUUGAAACUGAAAUACUAGAGUAUCGUAGAGGGAGGUAGAAUUCUAGGUGUAGCGGUGAAAUGCGUAGAUAUCUGGAGGAAUACCUGUGGCGAAAGCGGCCUCCUAAACGAAUACUGACACUGAGGUGCGAAAGCGUUGGGGAGCAAACGAGGGAUUAGAUACC
This 458-nucleotide ribosomal RNA is filed under the name uncultured bacterium. RNAcentral describes it as "bacterial SSU rRNA". It matches the Rfam family "Bacterial small subunit ribosomal RNA", at positions 340 to 786 of the family's 1533-position model. The record is from RNAcentral.